Molecule: ribosomal RNA, 491 nt
Filed under: uncultured bacterium
Lineage: Bacteria
Description: partial 16S ribosomal RNA
Rfam family: Bacterial small subunit ribosomal RNA
Source: RNAcentral
AGUGAACGCUGCGGUAGGCCUAACACCUGCAAGUCGAACGGCAGCACAGUAAGAGCUUGCUCUUACGGGUGGCGAGUGGCGGACGGGUGAGGAAUACAUCGGAAUCUACUUUUUCGUGGGGGAUAACGUAGGGAAACUUACGCUAAUACCGCAUACGACCUACGGGCGAAAGCAGGGGAUCUUCGGACCUUGCGCGAUUGAAUGAGCCGAUGUCGGAUUAGCUAGUUGGCGGGGUAAAGGCCCACCAAGGCGACGAUCCGUAGCUGGUCUGAGAGGAUGAUCAGCCACACUGGAACUGAGACACGGUCCAGACUCCUACGGGAGGCAGCAGUGGGGAAUAUUGGACAAUGGGCGCAAGCCUGAUCCAGCCAUACCGCGUGGGUGAAGAAGGCCUUCGGGUUGUAAAGCCCUUUUGUUGGGAAAGAAAAGCAGCAGGUUAAUACCCCGCUGUUCUGACGGUACCCAAAGAAUAAGCACCGGCUAACUUCGUG